CUGAGGCUUCUACGACAACCACAACUGAAGCAACAACCACAACAUCUGAAGCAACAACCACAACAACUGAGGCACCAACGACAACCACAACUGAAGCAACAACCACAACAACUGAAGCAACAACCACAACAACUGAGGCACCAACAACAACCACAACAACUGAAGCAACAACCACAACAACUGAAGCAACAACCACAACAACUGAGUCACCAACGACAACCACAACGGAAGCAACAACCACAACAACUGAGGCACCAACAACAACCACAACAACUGAAGCAACAACCACAACAACUGAGGCACCUACGACAACCACAAUUGAAGCAACAACCACAACAACUAAGGCACCAACGACAACCACAACUGAAGCAACAACAACAACAACUGAGGCACCAACGACAAGCACAACUGAAGCAACAACUACAACAACUGAAGCAACAACCACAACAACUGAGGCACCAACUACAACCACAACUGAAGCAACAACCACAACAACUGAGGCACCAACGACAACCACGACUGAAGCAACAACCGCAACAACUGAAGCAACAACCACAACAACUGAGGCACCAACGACAACCACAACUGAAGCAACAACCACAACAACUGAGGCACCAACGACAACCACAACUGAAGCAACAACCACAACAACUGAAGCAACAACCACAACAACUGAGGCACCAACAACAACCACAACUGAAUCAACAACCACAACAGAGGCACCAACAACAACCACAAAAACUGAGGCAAUGAACAUUGCAACAACAACCACCACAGCAAAUACAACUGAAGCAACAAUAACAACAACAACUGAAUCAUCUACAUCCACAACUAUACCCACAGUCCCUGGUUUAGUAUCACUGGUACAUCUAGAGAUGAAGCUCACAGCCUUUGGGCAGGUGACCAAUGAAACAAUCAUUUACUUUGUUAAUAAGUUUUUAAUGGAGAAACUGAAUGUAACAGCCUCCAGCAUCAAAAUCAAACAACCAACACAAGCAGCAUAAGUGUCACAGCAAAUUUUCUAUUAAGACUUUGGCUGUAACAUGUUAAAUUUAUGGUUUGGAUGUAUUAAUUGUGUAAAGAUAAAUGUGUCUUGUUUUUGUUAACAAGACCUGGACUGUUCAAGAUGGACUUAAAUGUUUAACAAAAUGAUGCAGGGUUUUAUUUUGAAGAUCAGGGAUCUUGGAAGACGGGAAAAAGUAGAAGAAGGGAAAAAAGGUGGGAGAGCGCUCACGCUGAAUGUGUGCAGUACAAAACUCUCGUAUGAAAGCUCAGAUUAUAUGCAACGCACCCAAUUGAAUGAAGUGAGUAAAAUUAAGUCAGCACGACAGUUACGUGCAUGGACCUGUGUGGUGGUCGGGAGUAAACUUCAGGCCAAAGUUCAGAAGUUCAGAAAAGCGACUAUCACCAGUCCUGCUCGUUGACACAACGGGUAAAGAUUGCAGCACCUGGAGAGGAACUAGAGACCCAGCUAACAGCUUCGCUUCAGCGGUUGGGAGUCAAACACCAGCGACACGUGUGUCG
This is a long non-coding RNA of Betta splendens (Siamese fighting fish), 1524 nucleotides long. RefSeq lists it as uncharacterized. The transcript is spliced from 3 exons. NCBI's taxonomy places the organism in Eukaryota, Metazoa, Chordata, Actinopteri, Anabantiformes, Osphronemidae. The record is from RefSeq and is a predicted model, not a curated record.